UACGGGGGGGCAAGCGUUGUUCGGAAUUACUGGGCGUAAAGGGCUCGUAGGUGGCCAACUAAGUCAGACGUGAAAUCCCUCGGCUUAACCGGGGAACUGCGUCUGAUACUGGAUGGCUUGAGUUCGGGAGAGGGAUGCGGAAUUCCAGGUGUAGCGGUGAAAUGCGUAGAUAUCUGGAGGAACACCGGUGGCGAAGGCGGCAUCCUGGACCGACACCGACACUGAGGAGCGAAAGCCAGGGGAGCAAACGGG
This 252-nucleotide ribosomal RNA is filed under the name uncultured bacterium. RNAcentral describes it as "partial 16S ribosomal RNA". It matches the Rfam family "Bacterial small subunit ribosomal RNA", at positions 524 to 776 of the family's 1533-position model. The record is from RNAcentral.